This 521-nucleotide ribosomal RNA is filed under the name uncultured bacterium. Its description in RNAcentral is "bacterial SSU rRNA". It matches the Rfam family "Bacterial small subunit ribosomal RNA", at positions 988 to 1509 of the family's 1533-position model. The record is from RNAcentral.
CCAGAGAACUUUCCAGAGAUGGAUUGGUGCCUUCGGGAACUCUGAGACAGGUGCUGCAUGGCUGUCGUCAGCUCGUGUUGUGAAAUGUUGGGUUAAGUCCCGCAACGAGCGCAACCCUUAUCCUUUGUUGCCAGCGGUUAGGCCGGGAACUCAAAGGAGACUGCCAGUGAUAAACUGGAGGAAGGUGGGGAUGACGUCAAGUCAUCAUGGCCCUUACGAGUAGGGCUACACACGUGCUACAAUGGCGCAUACAAAGAGAAGCGACCUCGCGAGAGCAAGCGGACCUCAUAAAGUGCGUCGUAGUCCGGAUUGGAGUCUGCAACUCGACUCCAUGAAGUCGGAAUCGCUAGUAAUCGUGGAUCAGAAUGCCACGGUGAAUACGUUCCCGGGCCUUGUACACACCGCCCGUCACACCAUGGGAGUGGGUUGCAAAAGAAGUAGGUAGCUUAACCUUCGGGAGGGCGCUUACCACUUUGUGAUUCAUGACUGGGGUGAAGUCGUAACAAGGUAGGCGUAGAUGA